Molecule: ribosomal RNA, 496 nt
Filed under: uncultured bacterium
Lineage: Bacteria
Description: partial 16S ribosomal RNA
Rfam family: Bacterial small subunit ribosomal RNA
Source: RNAcentral
GAUGAACGCUGGCGGCGUGCCUAAUACAUGCAAGUCGAGCGGAAAGACGAGGCGCUUGCGCCUCUGACGUUAGCGGAGGACGGGUGAGUAACGCGUGGAUCACCUACCUAUAAGACUGGGAUAACUUCGGGAAACCGGAGCUAAUACCGGAUAAUAUAUUGAAGCGCAUGGGUCAAUGGUAAAAGACGGUUUUGCUGUCAGUUAUAGAUGGUUCCGCGCCGGAUGAGCUAGUUGGGAAGGUAACGGCUUACCAAGGCAACGAUGCGUAGCCGACCUGCGAGGGGGUACGGCCACUCUGGAGCUGAGAGACGGCCCAGGCUCUUACGGGAGGCAGAAGCAGGUAAGCUACCGAAAAGGGCGAAAGCUUGACGGAGCAACGGAGCGUGAGUGAUGAAGGGCUGCGUGUCGUAAAACGCUCUUAGUGGGGAAGAACAAAUGUGUAAGUAACGAUGCGCGUGUGGACGGAACCGAUACAGAAAGCCCCGGCAAACUACGG